This is a non-coding RNA of Oryza punctata, 198 nucleotides long. The record is from Rfam. NCBI's taxonomy places the organism in Eukaryota, Viridiplantae, Streptophyta, Magnoliopsida, Poales, Poaceae.
ACUACCUCCAUCCUAAAAUAUAUCCUACGUUUGACCAUCCGUUUCAUUUGAAAAUUUUUUAUGAUUAGUAUUUUUGUUAUUAUUAAAUGAUAAAACUUGAAUAGUACUUUAUGUGUGAUUUUUUUUUUAUUUUUCAUAAUUUUUUCAAAUAAGACAUACGGUCAAUGUUGGACACGUAUAUCUAUGACUGCGCUUAUU